GACGAACGCUGGCGGCGUGCUUAACACAUGCAAGUCGAACGGAAAGGCCCUGCUUGCAGGGUACUCGAGUGGCGAACGGGUGAGUAACACGUGGGUGAUCUGCCCUGCACUUCGGGAUAAGCUUGGGAAACUGGGUCUAAUACCGGAUAGGACCGCACUUUAGUGUGUGUGGUGGAAAGUUUUUUCGGUGUAGGAUGAGCUCGCGGCCUAUCAGCUUGUUGGUGGGGUAAUGGCCUACCAAGGCGGCGACGGGUAGCCGGCCUGAGAGGGUGUACGGCCACAUUGGGACUGAGGUACGGCCCAGACUCCUACGGGGGGCAGCAGUGGGGAAUAUUGCACAAUGGGCGCAAGCCUGAUGCAGCGACGCCGCGUGGGGGAUGAAGGCCUUCGGGUUGUAAACUCCUUUCGCUAGGGACGAAGCUUUGUUGUGACGGUACCUAGAGAAGAAGCACCGGCUAACUACGUG
Molecule: ribosomal RNA, 466 nt
Filed under: uncultured bacterium
Lineage: Bacteria
Description: partial 16S ribosomal RNA
Rfam family: Bacterial small subunit ribosomal RNA
Source: RNAcentral